Molecule: RNA transcript, 2598 nt
Organism: Gallus gallus (chicken)
Lineage: Eukaryota; Metazoa; Chordata; Aves; Galliformes; Phasianidae
Gene: RIPK3
Gene name: receptor-interacting serine-threonine kinase 3
Exons: 10
Source: RefSeq, a predicted model, not a curated record
GUCCGCCAUGGGCGCAGCAGUGGGAAGGGCACAGAGCAGAUCGUCUCGACUGCGAUCGCACAGCACGUGAUGGACAGCCGGUGGAUCAGGCCCAGCCAGAGUGCGCUCGUGAAAGGCAGGUCCUGCCUGAGCAACCUCACCUGCUUCUAUGAGCAGGGGACGGUACAGGCUGGACUGUAGUAAAGCCUUGGAUUGUCUCCCACAGCGUUCUCCUGCAGAAGCAGCGGCCCAUGGACAGCCCAAGCAAACACAUCCGCAGUCACCAAGGAGUUACAGUGCAUAUGUCCUACCAGGAAAUUUUAGAUGUUUGCUGGCAGCCAAUGAAAGGAGAGAUAAACAAUGCUGCUGACUCAUGAGCAAGAAAGCUCCGACUGCUUUCAGAGCAGAUUCACACUGGGUAUCUGCAGCACUAUCACUACAACGCUGGUCAUUUUUAUGCUUGUAUUUCUGAAGGGAAUGGAAGUUGCUGCUUCAGGAUAUAGCAAUUAUCAGAUGCUGUAAAUCUGAAUGUCUCCUGCCUUCUCUUGGGAUUUACCGCUACCAGAGACUUGUGGGGAUAGUGACUGAGUGGAUGAUCAAUGGAUCCCUCCAUUCACUCAUCCACAAGGUAUGUAAGGUCUUUUGUGACAAAACUAACUACAAGCUAAGCCAAAAGAGAGCAACCAGCAUGUAAAUUAUGGACAUAAUCACAGUCACAGUCAGUCUGCUAUUUGAUUCAGUGUUGUAUUUUUGUUUACUGUCAAAUGGAAGUGUAAUAUUAACAGUUUCACCGUACGCAAACCUGUCCUUUUAUUCUUUAGCAUCAACUGUACCCAGAUCUUCCGUUUCCCUUACUCAUAAGGAUCCUGUCAGAUGUGGCUGAAGGGCUGCAUUACCUACACAGCCUCCUUCCUGCUGACUGCCACUGCAGACUGAAACCUUCCAAUGUCCUUUUGGAUGCACAGUACAGAGCCAGGGUGGGAAUUCUCAGCCUAUACCUUGCUAACAUAAAAUUCAGUAAUUGCCCUAUGUGUUUACUCUAACAACCAACAUUUAGUUCUGAAACUGAGGCACUGUUAUUAAAACUUACGUUUUCUCCCAUCUCUGUAGAUAACAGAUUAUGGUCUGACCAACUGGAGGCAUCAGAAACAGAGGUCAGACCUGCAGAACUGUCAGAGAAAAUGCCAGGAUUUAGUGUACAUCGCUCCUGAAAUACUUGAAGGGAGUCCUUCUUCACAGGAAGGUGAUAUUGACAGUUUUGGUAUACUGUGCUGGGAGAGCAUAGGCAGACAGAAAACCUUUGAAGGUCAAACAAACCGACUAGGAGCUUUGACAGGGAUCUGUAACAGCUUGCAGCCUGCCAAUUCAGAGAAGUUUGUACCAAGCAAUUUGCCAAAGGGGAACAGACUGUUGCACUUUAUCACUUUAUGCUGUCAUCAAGAACCAGAUUACAGACCACAUGCUGCAGAAAGUGUAGAACUUCUAAAUGGGAUUUUGACGAGUAUAAGUAAGAAGGAAAUUUCCACUGCAGUCUACAAUCUGAUGCAUGCAAAGGAGACAGCAAUUAAUGUAUGCAAGGGUUCAGAAGUAUACACACUGCAGACAGGCAUACAGAACUCAGAGGUCAUCUGUCAACAAAAACUCAGCCAAGUAAUGAGCAAGAAAAUCCCUCCUGUAGUACAAAGUUUGUCACCUAUUCUACUUGGUAGCAGUACAAAUACUGCAAGAAGAGAAAAUAUUCUUCAGGCUGAUCUGACAAAUCCUAUCACACAGGACUCAACAAAGAAAGGCAGAGAAAACUGUCAGCGUAAGGAUCCACCACUGACACUUAAGCACAGUCCACAAACUAUGCACCCUGAACAACCAGUAACAGGUCCUUGCUGCAAAGGAAAUUGCAGUCAAAUACUGGCCAGCCAGAGAGGAACCAUCCUGAGCUGCAUGACAGAAGGACGCCUCAACCACAUCCUUGACAUCCUUCGCUCACAGCAAAUGCUGUCCCGAAUAGAUUAUGAAACAAUCAUUUCUUACCCCACAGUGACCAGCCGUGCUAGGGCACUCCUAGAUAUUUGCCUCUGCCUUGGAGAGAAGGCAGCACAGGUUGUAGUGACUGUUCUGACAGUGAACAAAUGCAGUCCUCUGGCACGAGGCAGCCAUUGCAUAGGUUGGCCUGAGACAAACAGGCUGCUGCUGUGACAUAAUUUUGAGGUUUGCUACAUGGUUCAGAGCACUGGUAACUUGGAGUGGCAGUGAUUCACAUUCAUUCCUCAUAAGCCAUUGAAAUCAGUUCUUCAUCCGACCCAUGAUUGUAAUCCACUCAUGGAAAAAAAAACUACCUGGAUGAAAAGAUCACAUCAACCUGCUGCCUGCAGAAAUUAACCAAGACUGGUAUAACAAAUUCUGAUUAAGUCAAAUGACACCUUAUUUCCUUGAUUUUGGAAGUUAGAACAAUGGAUUAUGAGAUUUUGGAGAUCACACUAAGGAAGAACAACAGUUAUUAAGUCCUUCCAACUAAGCAGUGUGUGAGGAGAAAAAAUACAUUGCCUUUCUCUGAACUCAGCACUGAACCUGCUGUCACUGUGAAAGACUUCAGAGAAUUAAUAAAUAUUUAUUAAUUCUUAA